Non-coding RNA from Picea glauca (white spruce), 422 nucleotides. NCBI's taxonomy places the organism in Eukaryota, Viridiplantae, Streptophyta, Pinopsida, Pinales, Pinaceae. The record is from Rfam.
UAUGACUCUCUUAAGGUAGCCAGAGGCCUCGUCAUCUAAUUAGUGACACACAUGAAUGGAUUAAUGAGAUUCCCAUUGUCCCAGGCUACUAUCUAGAGAAACCACAAGCAAGGGAAUGAGCUUGGAAAACUUAGCAGGGAAAGAAGACCGUGUUGAGCUUGACUCUAGUCCAACUUUGUGAAAUGACUUGAGAGGUGUAGAAUAACUAGGAUUUGUUUUCAGCACAAGUGAAAUACCACUACUUUUAAUGUUAUUUUACUUUUUUUGUGGGGCAGAGAUGAGGCAUUGAACAUAUAUUAAAAGAUAAUGCACAUUUCCUCAAAAUGUUGUCAUUGAUGGAAAUGGUUGAAAGCUCAUUCUUCACACACUUGAUGGAAAUGAGUUUAGGAAACCAAAUAUGAUCAUUACUUUUAAGGAUGAAU